RNAcentral lists this transfer RNA (70 nucleotides) under Marmota monax (woodchuck). RNAcentral describes it as "tRNA.Gly". The record is from RNAcentral. Lineage: Eukaryota; Metazoa; Chordata; Mammalia; Rodentia; Sciuridae.
UACGGGAGAGCUCGGCGGUAGAGCGUGCUUGCCAUGCCCAAGGCUCUGGGUUCAAUCCCUAGCCCCGGAA